AUCGAAAACCACGUUACGUAAGGGAGUAAAAUUAAGAGAAGAUUCGAGUGGUCCAGGAUUGUUAGAAAUUUGUUGUCUUGAAAAGAGGGGAAUAUAUGAAUUGGUGAAAUACUAGGAUUUAAGCCCAAGAGUUAUAAAUCCAUGAAAGGCGUAAUGAGGUUCAGUAGAAAAGGAAAGUUGAGCAGAAGGAGUGUCUGUAGAUCCUGCUAAGGUUCGAGCUGUGAGUGAGUGACCUACUCCAAAGAACGUGUCUAAUAUUUGAAGUUUCCUAGGCCUAUUUGACUGUUAUAAGAGGUUGUGAAGACUUUAGAAGAGAGCAAAACCAAUGGCAAACUUGUUGAAAAAGGAAUCAAAAUUUGAGUGAAGUGAGAAAAGUGAGGAAGCUUCUAGAUUUUAAAAGAGAAUUUGACCUCCGCAACUGUUGUCGCGUCAAUUGAAACCUUGUAAGCCUAAUUACCAAACCCAUGACCUAAAGUUAGCUGCUAUUGUGUUACCUGCGAAUAUUUGGAGACAUUACCUUUAUAGGGCAACACGUAAGAUCCUUACCGAGCACAAAAGUCUGAAACUUUGGCAAUAAGGCCCAGUUGAAUCUUGGGGACAACAUCGAAAAAUAUACUGCUUUCCACCCUGCAAUUGAUGGUCAGCCUGGGAGGACUAACCAAACUACGGAAUAUAUGUUGAGAGCCCGUGUUAUUGACUUUAAGAGUAACUGGGGAACCACCUAGAUUCGAUUGGAUUUCUUGAAAGAUAGUUACCAUACGAACAGUAAGAUGUCACAUGUUGAGGCAUUGUAUGGGAAAGAAGUGUAGAGGUUCCACUUGUUGGGAUGAUUUUAGUGAAAAUAUAGUAUUGGGGGCAGAAUUCGUUGAAGAAAGGAAAUACCCAAAGUUAUUCCCUGAGAUGAGUUACGAGGGCGUAACUCGUUUUCUUUAAGAGGGGUAGAAUACGAUAUAAAUUCGCGCUUUUUACCUAAUUUUAUGGUGUUUUUAUGCAUUUUUAUGCUUAUUUUAGCAAAUUAUUCAUGUCGAUGCAAGUAAAUAGAUUCUUCGCGUAACAAAUAGGUGUUCAUGAGUAAUUCAAGAAACUUUAAGUUGGCAAAAGAGUGUACAUAAAUGCCACAAGUAUUUCUCCAAUGAGAAUGAGUUGAAAAGUUUGGAAAGAUAGGUGAAUUUUCGUGUCAAGUUUCGGGACGAAACUUCUUUUAAGAGGGGUAGAUUGUAAUCCCCCGUAAUUUUAUACAUUGUUUAUAUUUUUUACGUAUAUUUAAUAUAUUUAAGUACAAUUUGCGGAUUUUAGAAAUGAAUAUGUAAUUAAAAUAUAAUUAUUUUAUCUCAUUUUGAAUACUUUAAUGACUUACGAAAUCAAAAUGUAUUUUCGAAUUUUACGUUAAAACGAAUUCGAAUUACGAAAAUCGAUUAAAUUUAGAAAACGAUCCUAUCCGAUUUUGGAUUCGAAUCCUAAAACUAAAUUCCUAAGUCUAGCCCAAUUGAAUAAAGCCCAAUAUUAUAAACCCAUAACCCCAUACUUCUACUCCAUGUAAAACACAAAACACAAAACACCAAACCCCUCUAUUCCUACUUCACGUAAAAACCAAAAAGGGCAAAACCCAUCUCUCUCCUUUCCUGCUUCCUCUUCCUCCCUCUGCCCAGCCGCCGACCACCACGAGCACGCCACCAAGGCCGCCAGACCACCUCGCCGCCACGUCGCUGACCACCAGCUCUCACCACCACCUUGCUCGCGCAGCCCCCGCGUCGCCACCCAGCCUGCGCCGCCGCUGCCUUGUCCCUGCUCGCCGCCACCGCAAGUAGCACCACCGUGUGCCGCCGUCUCUCAGCCCUGCCGCAAGCCACCUCUGUCCGCCAGCCAACUCUCUCUCCUCCUUCUUGAAUUGGCGGAGAAUUCUCUUUAGGCGACUUUUGAAAGUGUUAAAGUGGCCUAUCAGUUUGUUUACACAAGUCUCUAAGGAUCAAUAAGCGUUGCCCAUCUACAGGUUUGAAGAUGAUGCAUCAUUGGGAUCGGGAUUAGAGAGCUUGUAGUUCUAUUCGUUUAAUUAAGUGAUUUAAUUUGUUAACUUGGAUUUGAAAUUUGUCGUACUAUUCGUAUUUCCUUAAUUCAGUUAAUUGGUUUGGACCUAAUAUGUAAUAGAUUAUUUAUGAACCUAAAAGUUAGUUUUAUGUUUUCCGCUGCAAAA
Spinacia oleracea (spinach) is the source of this 2191-nucleotide long non-coding RNA. RefSeq lists it as uncharacterized. The record is from RefSeq and is a predicted model, not a curated record. NCBI's taxonomy places the organism in Eukaryota, Viridiplantae, Streptophyta, Magnoliopsida, Caryophyllales, Amaranthaceae. The transcript is spliced from 5 exons.